This 84-nucleotide non-coding RNA is filed under the name Goniomonas pacifica. Lineage: Eukaryota; Cryptophyceae; Goniomonadida; Goniomonadaceae. The record is from RNAcentral.
AAAAUGCGACAACUGCGCUAGGCUGGGCACAGAGCAGUGGGUACGUCAACACUCGAUCACAAUGGAUGAUGUCAUGCUGCUGCA